GGAGAGGUGGAUGAGCGGUUUAAGUCGCACGCCUGGAAAGCGUGUUUGGGCUAAUCCCCACCGCGGGUUCGUAGCCCGCCCUCUCGGCCA
RNAcentral lists this transfer RNA (90 nucleotides) under Burkholderiaceae bacterium. RNAcentral describes it as "tRNA-Ser". Lineage: Bacteria; Pseudomonadati; Pseudomonadota; Betaproteobacteria; Burkholderiales; Burkholderiaceae. The record is from RNAcentral.